UAAAAUUAAAUGUACCAUUAUAUGCUCACCGUAGAUCUAAAUGCUGUUUAAAGAGUCCAAAUGGUAUCAAGCUGCUUGAGUGGCACGUUAAAACUACGCAAAACCAAAUCUUGUUUAAAAACUGGUUUUAAAAUAACUACUGGAUUUUCUGGAAAAGAUGUGAUCAGUUUUCAUCUUGUUGAGCGUUUUUUCACUAGUGCAACUUUGGAUUUUUUAUGAAACUUUUGGUUCCUUAAUGAACACCUCGCUCCAUGCUGGAAGCAAUAAGCACAAAGCUUUUAAAGACAUUCUGACUGGACUAAUUGAGGUCCACUCGCCAAGGCUGAGGAUGUGUAACCCUUAAACGGUCUUCAUUUUCAAAGGAAAUAUCAGCUGCCUUGGAAUAUCAGAGGAACCGGUCAUGACCUGGAGCAAACCGAGGAGCUUCCCUUCUAUUUCUGGAUGGUUUAGGAAUAGUCGACUCACCACCGUGCCUACUCAGUAAAGGAAUCCACUUGGAAACUUGAAAAUCGUCCUGAUUUAUUAUGAUUUUUCCACAAAUAUGUGUCCUGUUAGAUGUUUUUAAUUAAAUACUAAGCUUUUUAAUUUGUAAGGGCUGUUUUUUA
Molecule: non-coding RNA, 605 nt
Organism: Marmota flaviventris (yellow-bellied marmot)
Lineage: Eukaryota; Metazoa; Chordata; Mammalia; Rodentia; Sciuridae
Source: RefSeq, a predicted model, not a curated record